RNAcentral lists this ribosomal RNA (406 nucleotides) under Metridium senile (brown sea anemone). Its description in RNAcentral is "partial large subunit ribosomal RNA". It matches the Rfam family "Bacterial large subunit ribosomal RNA", at positions 1989 to 2450 of the family's 2925-position model. Lineage: Eukaryota; Metazoa; Cnidaria; Anthozoa; Actiniaria; Metridiidae. The record is from RNAcentral.
GGUAUGAUGGCAUCACGAAGGCCCCACUGUCUUAAGAGGACUCUCCAUGAAAUUGAAAUCGUAGUGAAGAUGCUACGUCCAUAUUGUAAGACGAAAAGACCCCAUUGAGCUUUACUAAAGACUUGUAUGGCUCGAAAUAACUUAAAUAAAAAGUUUAGAUAAUGUGGGAUCCGUUUUGGUUAAUGAAACACCACUCUUUUAUUUUAAGAGAGCUAACCUUGUAGGGAGAAUGCAAGUUGGAUAGUUUGGUUGGGGCGACCACCUUUUAAAAGGUAACGAAGGUGAGCUUAAGGUCCGUAGUUAAUAGCUAGUGGCCUGACUGCAAGGGGGACAUCCCGAGCAGACACUGGUAAUCUCUCAGUGGGUUAUAGUGACCCGUCAUCUUAGAGUGGAAUAGUUGACGAUC